ACGGGAGGCAGCAGUGGGGAAUAUUGGACAAUGGGCGCAAGCCUGAUCCAGCGACGCCGCGUGAGUGAAGAAGUAUUUCGGUAUGUAAAGCUCUAUCAGCAGGGAAGAUAAUGACGGUACCUGACUAAGAAGCCCCGGCUAACUACGUGCCAGCAGCCGCGGUAAUACGUAGGGGGCAAGCGUUAUCCGGAUUUACUGGGUGUAAAGGGAGUGUAGAUGGCAUGGCAAGUCAGAUGUGAAAGCUCGGGGCUCAACCCCGGAACUGCAUUUGAAACUGUCAAGCUGGAGUGCAGGAGAGGAAAGUGGAAUUCCUAGUGUAGCGGUGAAAUGCGUAGAUAUUAGGAAGAACACCAGUGGCGAAGGCGGCUUUCUGGACUGUAACUGACAUUGAGGCUCGAAAGCGUGGGGAGCAAACAGGAUUAGAUACCCUGGUA
Molecule: ribosomal RNA, 434 nt
Filed under: uncultured Clostridium sp.
Lineage: Bacteria; Bacillati; Bacillota; Clostridia; Eubacteriales; Clostridiaceae
Description: partial 16S ribosomal RNA
Rfam family: Bacterial small subunit ribosomal RNA
Source: RNAcentral